This 1452-nucleotide ribosomal RNA is filed under the name uncultured Bacteroidota bacterium. RNAcentral's name for it is "bacterial SSU rRNA". It matches the Rfam family "Bacterial small subunit ribosomal RNA". Lineage: Bacteria; Pseudomonadati; Bacteroidota. The record is from RNAcentral.
GAUGAACGCUAGCGACAGGCUUAACACAUGCAAGUCGAGGGGCAGCAUAUAAAUAGCUUGCUAUUUAUGAUGGCGACCGGCGCACGGGUGAGUAACGCGUAUGCAACCUACCUACAACAGGGGGAUAGCCCGGCGAAAGUCGGAUUAAUACCGCAUAAAACAGGGGUCCCGCAUGGGAAUAUUUGUUAAAGAUUUAUCGGUUGUAGAUGGGCAUGCGUAACAUUAGGUAGUUGGUGAGGGUAAUGGCCCACCAAGCCUACGAUGUUUAGGGGUUCUGAGAGGAAGGUCCCCCACACUGGUACUGAGACACGGACCAGACUCCUACGGGAGGCAGCAGUGAGGAAUAUUGGUCAAUGGGCGAGAGCCUGAACCAGCCAAGUCGCGUGAAGGAAGACUGCCCUAUGGGUUGUAAACUUCUUUUAUAGGGGAAUAAAAAGGUUUACGUGUAGACUAUUGCAUGUACCCUAUGAAUAAGCAUCGGCUAACUCCGUGCCAGCAGCCGCGGUAAUACGGAGGAUGCGAGCGUUAUCCGGAUUUAUUGGGUUUAAAGGGUGCGUAGGUGGAAGCUUAAGUCAGCGGUGAAAGUUUGGUCGCUUAACGAUAAAAUUGCCGUUGAAACUGGGUUUCUUGAGUAUAGAUGAAGUAGGCGGAAUGCGUGGUGUAGCGGUGAAAUGCUUAGAGAUCACGCAGAACUCCGAUUGCGAAGGCAGCUUACUAAGGUAUAACUGACACUGAAGCACGAAAGCGUGGGUAUCAAACAGGAUUAGAUACCCUGGUAGUCCACGCAGUAAACGAUGAUUACUAGGAGUUUGCGAUAUAAUGUAAGCUCUACAGCGAAAGCGUUAAGUAAUCCACCUGGGGAGUACGCCGGCAACGGUGAAACUCAAAGGAAUUGACGGGGGCCCGCACAAGCGGAGGAACAUGUGGUUUAAUUCGAUGAUACGCGAGGAACCUUACCCGGGAUUGAAAUGUACCUGACGAUCUGUGAAAGCAGAUUUCCAGCAAUGGCAGGUAUGUAGGUGCUGCAUGGUUGUCGUCAGCUCGUGCCGUGAGAUGUUUGGUUAAGUCCAAUAACGAGCGCAACCCUCGUCUUUAGUUGCUAACAUUUAGUUGAGAACUCUAAAGAUACUGCCAGCGUAAGCUGGAGGAAGGUGGGGAUGACGUCAAAUCAUCAUGCCCCUUACGUCUAGGGCUACAGGCGUGCUACAAUGGCCAGUACAACGAGUCGCAAUGUCGCGAGGCAAAGCAAAUCUCUUAAAGCUGGUCCCAGUCCGGAUCGUAGUCUGCAACUCGACUACGUGAAGUUGGAAUCGCUAGUAAUCCCGAAUCAGAAUGUCGGGGUGAAUACGUUCCCGGGUGUUGUACACACCGCCCGUCACGCCAUGGGAGUCGGUAAUACCUGAAGAUGGUAGCCUAACCUUUUAGGAGGGGGCCAUUCAGGGUAGGAUCGGU